UUCAAUUUAAUCUGAAUUUUAAAAAUUAUUUAAAUAUUAUAAAAAAAGAAUUUUUUUGUUUUAAUAAUUUUAAGAAAAAAUUAUAUUUAUUAUAGUUAAUUAGUACAGUGAUGGAAUUUUUAUUUUAUAUAAAUAUUUAAAAGAAGAGAUUAUUUUUGUACCUUGUGUAUCAGGGUCUAUUAAAUAGAAAAUAGCUAUUUAUUAUUCUCGGUUUUAAAAGAGUUAAAAAUUUAUAAAUUUUAUUGUAGAAUAAAUAUUUAAAAUAAAUUUUUUGUAAUGAAACGUUAUUCGUUUUUAAAUAUAUCUAGUUUUUAAAGAAAAGAAUUUAAUUCUGCUUAUAAAUUUUAUUUUUUUUUAUUGAAAAAUUAAUAUUGUUUGUAAAAAAUAUUUUUAGGGAUGAGCUUAAAAGUAUCUAUUUAUAAUUUAAUAGGAUAUUAAUAAAUUAAUAGAAUUAGAAAUUUUCAUUUGAGUAGUAUGUUAUAAUUAAAUUUUUAUUUAAUAUAAUUUUUAUAUAAUUUAGUUUUUUUAUUUAAAUAGUUUAAUUAAUUUAAAAUUAAAUGAAAUAAUGAUAAAAUUAGUAUAAUAUUAUUUGAUUCUUAUUAUAGAUUAAAGGUUAAAUAAAGGAAUUCGGCAAAAAUAAUUUUCGCCUGUUUAUUAAAAACAUGUCUUUUUGAUUAUAAUUUAAAGUCAAGCCUGCCCACUGAUGGAUUAAAUGGCCGCGGUAUUUUGACCGUGCAAAGGUAGCAUAAUAAUUAGUUUUUUAAUUGAAAGCUGGAAUGAAUGGUUUAACGAGAAAUUUUCUGUCUCUAUUUAAUUUAAUUAGAAUUUUAUCUUUAAGUUAAAAAGCUUAAAUAUUUUUAAAAGACGAGAAGACCCUAUAGAGUUUAAUAUUUUUAUUUAUAAAAAAUAUUUUGAGUUGAAAAAUUUUUAUUAAUAAAAUUAUUUUGUUGGGGUGAUGGAAAAAUUUAAUAAACUUUUUUUGUAUAAAACAUUUAUGUAUGAAUAUUUGAUCCUAUUUUUUAGAUUAAAAGAAAAAAUUACCUUAGGGAUAACAGCGUUAUUUCUUUAAAGAGUUCUAAUCGAAAAAGAAGUUUGCGACCUCGAUGUUGGAUUAAAAUUAAUUAUUGGUGUAGAAGCUAAUAAAUUAGGUCUGUUCGACCUUUAAAAUUUUACAUGAUCUGAGUUUAAACCGGCGUGAGCCAGGUUGGUUUCUAUCUUUAAACAUAUUAAAUAUUUCAGUACGAAAGGACCAUAUAUUUAUAAUAAUUAUUAUUUAGAGAAUUUUAUUAACUAUUACUUUG
Molecule: ribosomal RNA, 1301 nt
Filed under: Apatetica glabra
Lineage: Eukaryota; Metazoa; Arthropoda; Insecta; Coleoptera; Staphylinidae
Description: 16S ribosomal RNA
Rfam family: Archaeal large subunit ribosomal RNA (bases 1048-1206)
Source: RNAcentral